AGUUUGAUCCUGGCUCAGGAUGAACGCUGGCGGCGUGCCUAAUACAUGCAAGUCGAGCGAACAGAUAAGGAGCUUGCUCCUUUGACGUUAGCGGCGGACGGGUGAGUAACACGUGGGUAACCUACCUAUAAGACUGGGAUAACUUCGGGAAACCGGAGCUAAUACCGGAUAACAUUUGGAACCGCAUGGUUCUAAAGUGAAAGAUGGUUUUGCUAUCACUUAUAGAUGGACCCGCGCCGUAUUAGCUAGUUGGUAAGGUAACGGCUUACCAAGGCGACGAUACGUAGCCGACCUGAGAGGGUGAUCGGCCACACUGGAACUGAGACACGGUCCAGACUCCUACGGGAGGCAGCAGUAGGGAAUCUUCCUGCAUAUGGGCGAAAGCCUGACGGAGCAACGCCGCGUGAGUGAUGAAGGGUUUCGGCUCGUAAAUACUCUGUUAUUAGGGAAGAACAAAUGUGUAAGUAACUGUGCACGU
Molecule: ribosomal RNA, 478 nt
Filed under: Staphylococcus saprophyticus
Lineage: Bacteria; Bacillati; Bacillota; Bacilli; Caryophanales; Staphylococcaceae
Description: bacterial SSU rRNA
Rfam family: Bacterial small subunit ribosomal RNA
Source: RNAcentral